Molecule: ribosomal RNA, 1385 nt
Filed under: Triticum aestivum (bread wheat)
Lineage: Eukaryota; Viridiplantae; Streptophyta; Magnoliopsida; Poales; Poaceae
Description: partial small subunit ribosomal RNA
Source: RNAcentral
AUUGCGGAUAAGCAACAAGGGAGAAUCAGAUUUUACUCAAUAUCUUUUUGGUAUUUUCAUCACACUUGAGAAUCUAAAACACUAACACAAAGGGGAAUAAUAUGACAAGGACACAUAUAUAACUAUCAUACAUGAACAAAGGGAAGAAACAAUACUAAGACAGGGACGAAAAUAUAUCACAACACAAACACACAUAUAUGUAUAUAUCACAGGACACCACACACAUAUGAAGAAUACUGUUUCACUAAACAAAGUAUGACAGGUCAAAUAUUUCGCAUAACAAACAUAUAUAUCCACAUGUACAUAGCUAACACAGGAACUAAGAAUUUAAAGAGGUUCAAACUUCUCACUUGACAGAGCACACAAACAACACAAAAAUUGACUAGUAAUCUUAGUUCUUACAAAACACUAAUUGAUAAACAUGGCACAUAUAUUGAAUAAUACUACUAGAAAAGUAUAGGUCUCUGAACUAAACAAAAUACGUAAUACAUUACAAUUUCCAUGAAUUACAGAGAGGGAGAAAGAGAACAGCAGGUUCAGUUGGAGACGAGCAGCAGCAGAGAUAAGGGAAGAAGAGAGAAGCAGCAGCAAGGUUAGGAGCAGCAGGGGACGCAGAAGAAAUGGAGCAGAGUAGCAAGUAGGGGAAGAGAAGCAGCAGUAGUUGGUUCAGAUAAGGAGCAGCAGCCUGUAGCAGAGGCGUGAGGAGAAGGGAGCAGCAGCAGUUAUGGUUCAGGGAGGAAGAAGAGGAGACAGCAGCAGGAGGUCAAGGGGAAAAAGAAGAUGCAGUGGGGGUGUGGAGAGAAGAGCAACAUCAUGAGUUAGGAGAAGUAGAGCAGCAAAACGGGGGCGCCCUCACGCGGAUGACCAGACGCCUAUGCUCCCAUUUGUCUGGUUGGUCGCGCGAGGUAUGGCGGUGGCUGGAGAUGGUGGAGGGAUGGCACAGUGAAGGUGGAGAUGGAUCGAUGAUGGUGGAUGCUGUUGAUGGCGCGGUGGCGCGGCUGCGAUGGAUGGAUGGUGUAGGAGGAGGAGAGUGGUGGCGCGCGGUGGUGCCGGCGGUGAUGGUGAUGUGGUGGGAGCGCGAUGGCACGGGUGGAGGUGCUGCGGGGUUGUGGAGCAGGUAGAGGUGUUGGGUGGCGCGUCGCCACGCCGGCCUGGCCGCGGCGGCGGCCGGAGGUGGAAGAAGGAGGCGGGGGAAAGAGGGGAUGGAGAUGCCAGGCACGAAAGGGGAUUAGCUGCCGCUAGGGAUUUUGACCCCUCCUCUGAUCUACCACUUUGCAAUUUUGGCCCUUCUCCUUUUCUUCUUUCUUCAUAAGAAGGUCCCUUUCUUCUUUAACUUGUCCCAUGGAGCAUCAUUUCUUCACACACAAGUCCCUCUGUCUUUCUUC